UAGCAGUACACACAUCACCAACCUCAGCUGUCACCCA
This 37-nucleotide non-coding RNA is filed under the name Mus musculus (house mouse). The record is from RNAcentral. Lineage: Eukaryota; Metazoa; Chordata; Mammalia; Rodentia; Muridae.